UAGUCCACGCUGUAAACGAUGAUCACUAGGUGGCUUGUUCUUUAUGGAUAAGUGCCCAAGGGAAACCGAUAAGUGAUCCACCUGGGGAGUACGUUGGCAACAAUGAAACUCAAAGGAAUUGACGGGGGCCCGCACAAGCGGUGGAGCAUGUGGUUUAAUUCGAUGAUACGCGAGGUACCUUACCUGGGCUCGAACGCUAUUGGACAGUCUAUGAAAGUAGAUUUUUCUUCGGAACCGAUAGUGAGGUGCUGCAUGGUUGUCGUCAGCUCGUGCCGUGAGGUGUUGGGUUAAGUCCCGCAACGAGCGCAACCCUUAUCUUUAGUUGCCAGCAUGUAAUGAUGGGGACUCUAAAGAGACUGCCUCCGUAAGGAGUGAGGAAGGUGGGGAUGACGUCAAAUCAUCAUGGCCUUUAUGCCCAGGGCUACACACGUGCUACAAUGGCCAGUACAGAGGGUCGCGAAACCGUGAGGUGGAGCCAAGUCUCGAGAAAGCUGGUCUUAGUUCGGAUC
Molecule: ribosomal RNA, 509 nt
Filed under: uncultured bacterium
Lineage: Bacteria
Description: bacterial SSU rRNA
Rfam family: Bacterial small subunit ribosomal RNA
Source: RNAcentral